GUUAUCUUGACAAACGGCUUUAUGUUUACAUUCGGUAUUUGUGAAAUUCUGUGUUUUUUCUUUAGUUUUUGGUUGAAAAAGGAAAAAGACAAAACAACUUGGCAUAUCCAACCACGACUCAGAUUGUAUAACAUUCUUCCAAAUGAUACAAGGAUGGUUGAAGGCUUUGACUCUUUUAAAUGGAAAACCAAAAACUGUAUAUUGUUAAAAGAUGGAGAAAUUUUUAAUAAAUUUUAAAUUUAUCCAAUAAAUACUUUAUGUUCCAAACCGCCUAUAAAAUAUGAGCGUACAUGUAUUACUGUUGUACAAUGUACUGAUGAACUUGACAUAAACUUUCUAACCCA
Molecule: long non-coding RNA, 344 nt
Organism: Anthonomus grandis grandis
Lineage: Eukaryota; Metazoa; Arthropoda; Insecta; Coleoptera; Curculionidae
Exons: 2
Source: RefSeq, a predicted model, not a curated record